This 500-nucleotide ribosomal RNA is filed under the name uncultured bacterium. Its description in RNAcentral is "partial 16S ribosomal RNA". It matches the Rfam family "Bacterial small subunit ribosomal RNA", at positions 30 to 523 of the family's 1533-position model. The record is from RNAcentral.
AUUGAACGCUGGCGGCAGGCCUAACACAUGCAAGUCGAGCGGAUGAGAGGAGCUUGCUUCUCGAUUCAGCGGCGGACGGGUGAGUAAUGCCUAGGAAUCUGCCUGGUAGUGGGGGACAACGUUUCGAAAGGAACGCUAAUACCGCAUACGUCCUACGGGAGAAAGCAGGGGACCUUCGGGCCUUGCGCUAUCAGAUGAGCCUAGGUCGGAUUAGCUAGUUGGUGAGGUAAUGGCUCACCAAGGCGACGAUCCGUAACUGGACUGAGAGGAUGAUCAGGCACACUGGAACUGAGACACGGUCCAGACUCCUACGGGAGGCAGCAGUGGGGAAUAUUGGACAAUGGGCGAAAGCCUGAUCCAGCCAUGCCGCGUGUGUGAAGAAGGUCUUCGGAUUGUAAAGCACUUUAAGUUGGGAGGAAGGGUUGUAGAUUAAUACUCUGCAAUUUUGACGUUACCGACAGAAUAAGCACCGGCUAACUCUGUGCCAGCCGCCGCCGUAA